AACGCACAUUGCGCCCUUUGGUAUUCCGGAGGGCAUGCCUGUUUGAGAACCCUGACGUACCUCGCAAACCCCCCCUUCCUCUGGGAAGGUGUUGGUAGUUUUGCGGAUUUGGGCCGCUUCCUCAACCCUCUCUGCAGGGAUGGGGUGGCCAGAAAUCGAAGAUCGGCCUAUCGGCGGGAGUUUGAGCACUUCCACCUCUGUCCAUAAACAAGACGUGUUAGUAUGGGAAACCAUUCUGCGUCGAUGACCUUGGAACGUGGAGAAUUUUGUGCUUGCUCGCCAGCUGGACGACUCAGCCAACCAGUCAGGCGCCCUUUUUCCCCUUGCCGGGUGAAGAGCGUAGACCUGAACAACAACCGGUCUCAAAUCAGGCAAGACCACCCGCUGAACUUAA
Molecule: unclassified non-coding RNA, 394 nt
Filed under: uncultured fungus
Lineage: Eukaryota; Fungi
Description: partial contains 5.8S ribosomal RNA, internal transcribed spacer 2, and large subunit ribosomal RNA
Source: RNAcentral